UCCUAGACCUGUAUGUGGUCUAGUGGUUAGGAUUUGGCGCUCUCACCGCCAAGGCCCGGGUUCGAUUCCCGGCGUGGGAA
RNAcentral lists this transfer RNA (80 nucleotides) under Branchiostoma floridae (Florida lancelet). RNAcentral's name for it is "tRNA-Glu (CTC) (tRNA-Glu-CTC-11-1)". It matches the Rfam family "tRNA". Rfam says of the family: Transfer RNA (tRNA) molecules are approximately 80 nucleotides in length. The record is from RNAcentral. Lineage: Eukaryota; Metazoa; Chordata; Leptocardii; Amphioxiformes; Branchiostomatidae.